AGUGAACGCUGGCGGUAGGCCUAACACAUGCAAGUCGAACGGCAGCACAGUAAGAGCUUGCUCUUACGGGUGGCGAGUGGCGGACGGGUGAGGAAUACAUCGGAAUCUACUUUUUCGUGGGGGAUAACGUAGGGAAACUUACGCUAAUACCGCAUACGACCUACGGGUGAAAGCAGGGGAUCUUCGGACCUUGCGCGAGUGAAUGAGACGAUGUCGGAUUAGCUAGUUGGCGGGGUAAAGGCCCACCAAGGCGACGAUCCGUAGCUGGUCUGAGAGGAUGAUCAGCCACACUGGAACUGAGACACGGUCCAGACUCCUACGGGAGGCAGCAGUGGGGAAUAUUGGACAAUGGGCGCAAGCCUGAUCCAGCCAUACCGCGUGGGUGAAGAAGGCCUUCGGGUUGUAAAGCCCUUUUGUUGGGAAAGAAAAGCGGCAGGUUAAUACCCCGCUGUUCUGACGGUACCCAAAGAAUAAGCACCGGCUAACUUCGUG
RNAcentral lists this ribosomal RNA (492 nucleotides) under uncultured bacterium. Its description in RNAcentral is "partial 16S ribosomal RNA". It matches the Rfam family "Bacterial small subunit ribosomal RNA", at positions 29 to 507 of the family's 1533-position model. The record is from RNAcentral.